Magnolia sinica is the source of this 608-nucleotide long non-coding RNA. RefSeq lists it as uncharacterized. Lineage: Eukaryota; Viridiplantae; Streptophyta; Magnoliopsida; Magnoliales; Magnoliaceae. The transcript is spliced from 3 exons. The record is from RefSeq and is a predicted model, not a curated record.
GAACUACACAUCGUUCCAUAAAAUCCAAAUGACCUUGGGUGGUGUAACUCUUCACUAAAAAUGCAAAAUCAAAGCUUUUUAGGGACUUUGUAAUAAAAAUGCCAAAGUUAUUAUUCUGAGACUCAUUAUCAUUUUAAUUAAUUGUAAUUCAGGAGUGCGAUGGAGAUACACAGGGCAUCAAGCACCGACAAUUCAAGAGCUCAUAAUUAUCUAAGGCUAACGUUACUCCGAUUGCUUUCAUGGUUGAGGUUAUUUCGUGGAUAAUCAGUUUAAAUCCAAGGGAGCUGUGCUGGUUAAAAGUUUGGCUGCCAAGGAACCAUUUGCUCUUACCUUGGAUACUUAUUACAAGCAGUAUUAUCUCUGUUUGGCUGCUGCUGCUGCUACUAUCAAAUGGAUGAUAGUGUUAAAUGGAGAGCAUUGCAAGUUAUUUCAAGUUCACUUAGUAUUCACUUAUUAGGUUGUAUGUUUUCUUGGUCAUGGGAGAGGAAGAUGCCCAUGAAUUUUUGAGGCCAGCUGUUUAAACUAUUUCUGGAGGUUAUGCUGCAUCCAUCUAGACAUAUAUUUUAUCAUUUUAAAUGCAUGUAAUGAUAUCCUGUUAAUGGGUGAUU